Molecule: ribosomal RNA, 253 nt
Filed under: uncultured bacterium
Lineage: Bacteria
Description: partial 16S ribosomal RNA
Rfam family: Bacterial small subunit ribosomal RNA
Source: RNAcentral
UACGGAGGGUGCAAGCGUUAAUCGGAAUUACUGGGCGUAAAGGGCGCGUAGGUGGUUCAGUAAGUUGGGUGUGAAAGCCCCGGGCUUAACCUGGGAAUUGCAUUCAAGACUGCUGGACUAGAGUGUAGUAGAGGGAAGCGGAAUUCCGGGUGUAGCGGUGAAAUGCGUAGAUAUCCGGAGGAACACCAGUGGCGAAGGCGGCUUCCUGGACUAACACUGACACUGAGGCGCGAAAGCGUGGGGAGCAAACAGG